UUCCUCCGACAAUAACGAUUUCAGUAUCAGGAUGACAAGACACGCGAGCAUUAUAAACAGUCUCGUUAGUCGAGUUCGAUUGAGAAGCUGAGAAAAAUUCUUAGGCUCAUACAUGUGAACUCAUUACUUAAUUUUUAAUUUAAGAAAUAAUUGAUCGAAAGAUGUUUAUCUUUUCUCAAGUGGUGUACAGAAAAUUUGAGUACAAGAAUAAUAUGUUAAAUUGAAAAACAAUUGAUUUUUUAUGAAGAUUUAUCUUAGAGAUUUUGUAAUAAAAGGUAGAAACUGGAGAAUGGAUGAUGAAUUUUUGGAUCAUAAAGAUAUCUUAAAAUACAAUAUGUGAAAGAAAAUUUUAACGGGAAGAAAAUAAGUUCAAUUAAUACUCGAUAAUGUACUUGUUAUUGUAUAAAUAAUGUAUGUUUGAUGAAAGAAAUAUAAGAAGA
Long non-coding RNA from Apis laboriosa (Himalayan honeybee), 440 nucleotides. RefSeq lists it as uncharacterized. NCBI's taxonomy places the organism in Eukaryota, Metazoa, Arthropoda, Insecta, Hymenoptera, Apidae. The record is from RefSeq and is a predicted model, not a curated record. The transcript has 3 exons.